UGCCAGUAGUCAUAUGCUUGUCUCAAAGAUUAAGCCAUGCAAGUCUAAGUAUAAGCACUUAUACUGUUAAACUGCGGAAAGCUCAUUAUAUCAGUUAUAGUUUAUUUGAUGGUAAACCCACUACAUGGAUAACCGUAGUAAUUCUAGAGCUAAUACAUGCCUUGAAGCGGUAACUUCGGAAGCCGUGGACUUAUUAGAUCAAGAGCUGACCCUUUUCGGAGGAACAAGCUGAAUCAUAGUAAUUUCGCUAAUCGCAGUGGUUUUGUGCCGGCGAUGGGUCAUUCAAAUUUCUGCCCUAUCAGCUGUGAUGUUAGUGUAGUGGACUAACAUGGCAUAAACGGGUGACGGAGGAUUAGGGUCUGAUUCCGGAGAGGGAGCCUGAGAAAUGGCUACCACUUCCAAGGAAGGCAGCAGGCGCGUAAAUUACCCAAUCCCGAUACGGGGAGGUAGUGACAAGAAAUAGCAAUACCGGAUCUUUUAAGAUCUGGUAAUUGGAAUGAGUACAAUCUAAAAUCCUUAACUAGGACCCAUUGGAGGGCAAGUCUGGU
This 548-nucleotide ribosomal RNA is filed under the name uncultured Kumanoa. RNAcentral describes it as "SSU rRNA". It matches the Rfam family "Eukaryotic small subunit ribosomal RNA", at positions 15 to 565 of the family's 1831-position model. Lineage: Eukaryota; Rhodophyta; Florideophyceae; Batrachospermales; Batrachospermaceae. The record is from RNAcentral.